RNAcentral lists this ribosomal RNA (431 nucleotides) under uncultured bacterium. RNAcentral's name for it is "partial 16S ribosomal RNA". It matches the Rfam family "Bacterial small subunit ribosomal RNA", at positions 29 to 505 of the family's 1533-position model. The record is from RNAcentral.
AACGAACGCUGGCGGCAUGCCUAACACAUGCAAGUCGAACGAGACCUUCGGGUCUAGUGGCGCACGGGUGCGUAACGCGUGGGAACCUGCCCUUAGGUUCGGAAUAACUCCCCGAAAGGGGUGCUAAUACCGGAUAAUGUCUUCGGACCAAAGAUUUAUCGCCUUUGGAUGGGCCCGCGUUGGAUUAGCUAGUUGGUAGGGUAAAAGCCUACCAAGGCGACGAUCCAUAGCUGGUCUGAGAGGAGGUUCAGCCACACUGGGAAUGAGACACGGCCGAGACUCCGACAGGAGGCGGCAGUGGGAAAUAGUGGACAAGGGGGGGAGGACGAGUCCAGCAGUGCCGCGUGAGGGAUUAAGGCCUAAGGGUUGUAAAGGUCUUUUACCCGGGAUGAUAGAGGGUGACCCGAGAAAAAGAACCCGGUCAAUCCCCG